RNAcentral lists this ribosomal RNA (472 nucleotides) under uncultured bacterium. RNAcentral's name for it is "bacterial SSU rRNA". It matches the Rfam family "Bacterial small subunit ribosomal RNA", at positions 28 to 507 of the family's 1533-position model. The record is from RNAcentral.
GACGAACGCUGGCGGCGUGCCUAACACAUGCAAGUCGAACGGUAUCGGGAAAGCAGCAAUGUGAUUCCGGUAUAGUGGCGGACGGGUGAGUAACGCGUGAGCAACCUGCCUUCAAGAGGGGGAUAACACCGGGAAACCGGUGCUAAUACCGCAUAAGACCACACCGACGAUGUCGGAGGGGUCAAAGGAGCAAUCCGCUUGAAGAGGGGCUCGCGUCCCAUUAGCUAGUAGGUAGGGUAACGGCCUACCUAGGCGACGAUGGGUAACCGGGCUGAGAGGCUGAACGGUCACACUGGGACUGAGACACGGCCCAGACUCCUACGGGAGGCAGCAGUGGGGAAUAUUGGGCAAUGGGGGAAACCCUGACCCAGCAACGCCGCGUGAAGGAAGAAGGUUUUCGGAUUGUAAACUUCUGUCGCAGGGGACGAAAGAAAUGACGGUACCCUGUGAGGAAGCCCCGGCUAACUACGCG